RNAcentral lists this ribosomal RNA (1215 nucleotides) under Aspergillus niger. Its description in RNAcentral is "SSU rRNA". It matches the Rfam family "Eukaryotic small subunit ribosomal RNA". Lineage: Eukaryota; Fungi; Ascomycota; Eurotiomycetes; Eurotiales; Aspergillaceae. The record is from RNAcentral.
AGAACGCAUGUCUAGUAUAGCACUUUAUACUGUGGAACUGGCAAAGGCUCAUAAAUCAGUUAUCGAUCAUUUGAUAGUACCUUACUACAUGGGUACCUGUGGUAAUUCUCUAGCUAAUACAUGCUGAAAACCUCGACUUCGGAAGGGGUGUAUUUAUUAGAUAAAAAACCAAUGCCCUUCGGGGCUCCUUGGUGAAUCAUGAUAACUUAACGAAUCCCAUGGCCUUGCGCCGGCGAUGGUUCAUUCAAAUUUCUGCCCUAUCAACUUUCGAUGGGAGGAUAGUGGACUACCAUGGUGGCAGCGGGUAACGGGGAAUUAGGGUUCAAUUCCCGAUACGGAGCCUGAAAAACGGCUACCACAUCCCAGGAAGGCAGAAGGCGCGCAAAUUACCCAAUCCCCACACCCGAAGGUAGUGACAAUAAAUACUGAUACGGGGCUCUUGUGCGUCUCGGAAUUGGAAUGAGUACAAUCUAAAUUCAUAUACCAUGAACAAUUGCAGGGGAAGUCUGGUGCCGGCGCCCGCAGUCAUUCCAACUCCAAUAGCGUAAAUGAAAAUUGUUGCAGUUGAAAAUCACAUAGCUGAACCUUGAUUCUGGCCUUUCGGUCCGCCUCACCGCGAGUACUGGUCCGGCUGGACCUUUCCUUCUGGGGAAUCUCAUGGCCUUCACUGGCUGUGGGGGGAAGCUUAUACUUUUACUGUGAAAAAAUUACAGUGUUCAAAUCAGACCUUUGCUCGAAUACAUUAACAUGUGAAAAUAUUAUAGGACGUGAGGUCUAUUUUGUUGGUUUCUAGGAUCGCCGUACCGAGUAACUAAGGAUAUGCUGAGGCGUCACGUAUUCAGCUGUCAUGAUGUGAGAUCUCUUGGAUUGCUGAUCACUGACUGCCCGCGAAAACCAUUCACCGACGAUGUUUUUGUUCCUCGAGGAUCUAAUGUACGGGAUCGAGACUAUCGGAUCCCAGUACUAGUCUUAACCAUCAACUAUCGUCGACUAAGGAUCUGACGACGUUUCAUGAUGACCCUUUCAGCGACCUACUAGACAUCUAAGCUUAUUGAAUCUGGUGGGAGUCAUGGUCCGCAUGCUGAACCUAAGCUAAAUGAUCGAGAUUCCACGCAGGCUGCAACCCUGCAGCGUGACUUGCGUCCUCACUGGUAGCACUCACCGGUCACGUCACACAAGACCGAAUUGUACGAAUUGGAUAGACCAUCUCUUGAG